RNAcentral lists this ribosomal RNA (486 nucleotides) under uncultured bacterium. RNAcentral's name for it is "partial 16S ribosomal RNA". It matches the Rfam family "Bacterial small subunit ribosomal RNA", at positions 30 to 507 of the family's 1533-position model. The record is from RNAcentral.
AUUGAACGCUGGCGGCAUGCCUUACACAUGCAAGUCGAACGGCAGCACGGGUGCUUGCACCUGGUGGCGAGUGGCGAACGGGUGAGUAAUACAUCGGAACAUGUCCUGUAGUGGGGGAUAGCCCGGCGAAAGCCGGAUUAAUACCGCAUACGUUCUACGGAGGAAAGCGGGGGACCUUCGGGCCUCGCGCUAUAGGGUUGGCCGAUGGCUGAUUAGCUAGUUGGUGGGGUAAAGGCCUACCAAGGCGACGAUCAGUAGCUGGUCUGAGAGGACGACCAGCCACACUGGGACUGAGACACGGCCCAGACUCCUACGGGAGGCAGCAGUGGGGAAUUUUGGACAAUGGGCGAAAGCCUGAUCCAGCAAUGCCGCGUGUGUGAAGAAGGCCUUCGGGUUGUAAAGCACUUUUGUCCGGAAAGAAAUCCUUGGCUCUAAUACAGUCGGGGGAUGACGGUACCGGAAGAAUAAGCACCGGCUAACUACGUG